UACGGAGGGCGCAAGCGUUGUUCGGAAUCAUUGGGCGUAAAGCGCGUGUAGGCGGUCAUUUAAGUCGGAUGUGAAAGCCCGGGGCCCAACCCCGGAACUGCAUUCGAUACUGAGUGGCUGGAGUCCCGGAGAGGAAGGCGGAAUUCCCGGUGUAGAGGUGAAAUUCGUAGAUAUCGGGAGGAACAUCGGUGGCGCAGGCGGCCUUCUGGACGGUGACUGACGCUGAGACGCGAAAGCGUGGGGAGCAAACAGG
This 253-nucleotide ribosomal RNA is filed under the name uncultured bacterium. Its description in RNAcentral is "partial 16S ribosomal RNA". It matches the Rfam family "Bacterial small subunit ribosomal RNA", at positions 524 to 776 of the family's 1533-position model. The record is from RNAcentral.